GCAUUAUACAGUAAGGAGUCCCCUUUUGCUCUGCUAGGCCUUCCUGAUUAAGUGUUAUGUAAAUACAAACAACAAGAUUUUAUGUACCUAGGGGCUGGGAGACAUCUGUCAGUAAAGCACGUGCCAUGUAAGGAAUGUGUUUGCCAUGUAGCACAGAGACUAGCACUUGGUUAACGAACAAGACAAAGACCACUGAGGUCAAGCUCUCUGUAAACAAAAGUGUACUGUGCAUUGUAAAUCUAUCUGGAUGUACCAUUCUAACUUAAGAGUUUGCUGUCAACAAAGUAAAUAUUAGCAUAACAGUGUGUUGGGGUUGGUGCUGCUAUGUUUUCAAAUGGCCCCCAAGAUCUGGUGCCCCAACAACAACAACAACAACGAGGAGAUCCUCACAUACACCAAAUGAUGCUAUGUAACCUUGUUCCCGAAGUUAAUUGGUCAAUAAAAGCUAAGACCUGUGGAUGGAUAGUAGAUAGAGGUAUGCGGGUUUUUCAGUUACCUGGCUGGAAGUCACAGGUAAAAGGCAUAGAGGAAGAAAGGAAAGGGAGAGAAGAGGAAGCAGCCAUGAGAGGAGAGGAGAUGAACCAUGAGCACAUGGCUAGGAGUAACUGCAAGUAGAAGAGUUCCAAAAUCUGCCCAAGUAGGCUUACAAGCUCAUAAAUAAAACACCUGGAUGGUGUGUCUGUUAUAGUGGGUAGCUAGAAUUUAUAAUUCUGUUUACAUUAGUGGGCUGGGAAGAUGGCUCAGUUGGUUAAAGUUCAUAUAAUGCAAGCACCCAUGUAAAACAACAGGAAAGGAAUUUAAGUUGAAUCCCCAAUAAGUAAAAAUGCCAGCACUUUGACACAGAAACAGAAGAAUCCCUGAGACCUGCUGGAUAGCCAGUCUAUCUGAAUUUGCAAGCUCUCAGUUCAGUGAGAUAAGCCCUAUAUCAUUAGUAAAUAAAUAAAUAAAGUGGGAUCUUGGUGAGUGAAUUCUGCUGGAUGGAGUAUUAGGCUGCUCAGGGAGUUCUGCUAAUUGGUGUCUGACACUCUGAAUCAAUCCUCUCUUCUGCCCUCUGUGUGCUAGGUUGGGGGUUGUCCCACACCUGAGGCAGAAAGCUGUUGGCCACAAAGAAGAUGAAAAAGUCUCUGGAGUUGAUCAACUCUAAGCUCCAGCUUGUUAUGAAAAGUCAAAAGAACAUGCUGGGGUACAGACAGACUCUGAAGAUGAUCAAACAAGGCAAAGAAAAAUGGUUAUCCUCACCAACAACUACCCAGCUUCGAGGGAAUCUGAAAUAGAAUACUACACCAUGUUGGCUAAAACUAGUGUCCAUCACUACAGUGGCAAUACUAUUGAACUGGGCACAGUGUGCGGAAAAUACUAGAGAAUGCACACUGGCUGGGGUUGGGGAUUUAGCUCAGUGGUAGAGCGCUUUCCUAGCAAGCGCAAGGCCCUGGGUUCGGUUCCCAGCUCCGGAAAAAAAAAAAAAAAAAAAAAAAAAGAAAAGAAAAAAAAAAAAAAGAGAGAGAGAGAAAGCACACUGGCUAACAUUGCCUCAGGUGAUUCUGUUAUCAGAAGCAUGCCAAACAGACAGCAGGCUGACCUCAGCUGCAGGACAGUCCACACAGGCAGAGAGAACCAGGACAGCAGAGAAUGCACACCUCACUUCUCACAGGCCUGAAGUCAGCACAUCUGAGACCUCUACUACAAGAGAAACUUGCGAAUUCAGACUACUUGUGUUGUCAGGUGACACUGAGAACCUGAGACUGACUGCUAAUAGGGAGACUCCAUCUUGCAGAGCAGUUAGUUGUGUCUGCCACAGCGUGGCAUAAAGAAAAGCCCUAGCUAGAUCUCCUUUUCCUUAAAUAGUCAAUUUCCCCAAAAGCAUGUAUUAAAUAAUCUAUUG
Molecule: non-coding RNA, 1882 nt
Organism: Rattus norvegicus (Norway rat)
Lineage: Eukaryota; Metazoa; Chordata; Mammalia; Rodentia; Muridae
Source: RefSeq, a predicted model, not a curated record